CAGUGAAAGAAACCCGACGUCAUCCGUUAUUUGAUCGAAAAGUCGUGUGGAGUGAAUUUAUCGUGUCUCUGAUGCGCCUGAAAUCAAAAAAGGAAAUUUACAGAGAAAACGUUCAUUCAAACGAGAAAAAACCUGUUGAUUGUUAUUAGAAGUCCAUAAGCAGAAGGAAAUAUGGACAAAACUUUUGAUGGCUUAUUGACCAUUAUGUCGAGUGAAAUUGAGAAUCAAGUCAAUCAGCGCAUAUAUCUGACCCAAAGAAUGUUAGAUGCUGUGACCACCACAAGUCGUUCACUAGUGGUGGAUCCGGAGGACUUGCAGCCACUACAACCCAUGGCAUUGGAGGACGGACAGGAGGAACCACAGGGUCAAGGGGAACCAAAGGGUCAAGAGAAGCAACAGGACCAAGAGGAGAAAAUAAAAUGAAACAUUUUUAAACAAGACAAAACG
Drosophila pseudoobscura is the source of this 447-nucleotide long non-coding RNA. RefSeq lists it as uncharacterized. The transcript has 2 exons. Lineage: Eukaryota; Metazoa; Arthropoda; Insecta; Diptera; Drosophilidae. The record is from RefSeq and is a predicted model, not a curated record.